This 1122-nucleotide long non-coding RNA is filed under the name Brachypodium distachyon (stiff brome). RNAcentral's name for it is "long non-coding RNA (BDIS_LNC004612)". Lineage: Eukaryota; Viridiplantae; Streptophyta; Magnoliopsida; Poales; Poaceae. The record is from RNAcentral.
GUGAGCAUGUACCCAUUACGGGGCUACAACACUUGCCGACAGCCAACUGGCCUCCAUCAUACCACUCCAUCCAGAUAAAACAUUUUGGUUUUAUUUCGAAUUUUUUUUCCAAAAACAUACUCGCUCAUAAAGAGCACUUAAUACUUUGCAAUAUAGUUUGGGUCCCCUCCCGUUAUAAUAGUAUAGCAUGCUUUGGAAAAAUGUAUAUACAUAACCUAUGGUAUUUGGUGGCAUGGCAAUAAAUCCUAUAAGCAAUCUACUAGGAAUAACUAAACAUGUUGAAAACGCAUUUGAUAAAUACUUCAUAAAGAAAUAACUCUAACAUGCAUCCCUAUGAUGUUGUAAACAAAAUAGCAUAAGCAAAAAUAUAGGUUCUACAUGGUCAAUAAGUGUAACUUGCCUGGUUCAGAAAAGUUGUUGCGGUCGUCAAUCCCUGGCACUCUUCGCAAUCGCAAUCCGAAUAAUCUAACGCGAAGAACGAAACAACAAUAAAUGCAUAGUUCCAAACAUCUCUCAAAGGCCAAAUAUAACUCCAAAUGAACUUCGGAUAAAGGAUGUAUCACAAGCAUAAAAAUAACAGAACCUAAACGUCAUCUAAGUAAUACCAUAGUAUUAACAAUUCAAGUUCUAAAGCCUAAGAUUAAGGCUAGUGUGGCUAAGUCUGAAAAAUUCAGAAAUAUGCUACUGUUAACAGAUAGUUGCAUGUUUGAACUCAAAUUUUAAUCUGAAAAGGCUUUAAUAGAUCUUAUUUCAAUUUAAACCCUAGGAUUUACACCCAUUUAAGCUUUGGAUCUUCAAACCAACAGGGUUUAUUUAUAAAAAGGUUCAUUGCAUAAUUAAGCUAUCCCAUAAUUUUUGGAUAAUUAUUUGGAGUUGAAAAACUAUUUUAUUUAAAUAGUUAUAUAGCCCUAAAGGCAUUUAUAGGGAAAAUGUAUUUUUAUGUAUUUUAUUUUGAGGGGAAAUUACUCCCAAAAGUUGAAUCAUGGUAAAAUAUGAUUUUACAAAUUAUCUGGAAUUUAUUUGGACCAAUUUGGAGUUCAAAAUCAAAAGAUAUCAAAGAAAUAAGAAAAACAGAAAAAGAAAAGGCUAAAAGAAAAAAAAAAGGGAAAAACGGACCGGCCC